GUGAAUCAUCAAAUCUUUGAACGCAAAUUGCACUCUUUGGUAUUCCGGAGAGCAUGCCUGUUUGAGGGUCAGUUUUAAUAUAAAUCGGUGUGGGUGCUGCCUUUCGUGGUGACUCACCGGAUUAGGGGCGUCUUACCUUUGGGUAAGUGACCUAAAAGUUUGCAUGAUCUUUUUCGAAUGUAUCUAAAUAACUAGACGUACG
RNAcentral lists this unclassified non-coding RNA (202 nucleotides) under Glomeromycetes sp. RNAcentral describes it as "partial contains 5.8S ribosomal RNA and internal transcribed spacer 2". The stretch from base 1 to 71 matches the Rfam family "5.8S ribosomal RNA", at positions 84 to 154 of the family's 154-position model. The record is from RNAcentral. Lineage: Eukaryota; Fungi; Glomeromycota; Glomeromycetes.